This 376-nucleotide unclassified non-coding RNA is filed under the name uncultured Gammaproteobacteria bacterium. RNAcentral describes it as "contains 16S-23S intergenic spacer region". Lineage: Bacteria; Pseudomonadati; Pseudomonadota; Gammaproteobacteria. The record is from RNAcentral.
UCCGGUUUGUCACCGGCAGUCUCAUUAGAGUGCUCAACUAAAUGUAGCAACUAAUGACAAGGGUUGCGCUCGUUGCGGGACUUAACCCAACAUCUCACGACACGAGCUGACGACAGCCAUGCAGCACCUGUGUUACGGCUCUCUUUCGAGCACAACCAAAUCUCUUCGGCCUUCCGUACAUGUCAAGGGUAGGUAAGGUUUUUCGCGUUGCAUCGAAUUAAUCCACAUCAUCCACCGCUUGUGCGGGUCCCCGUCAAUUCCUUUGAGUUUUAAUCUUGCGACCGUACUCCCCAGGCGGUCUACUUCACGCGUUAGCUGCGUUACCAAGUUAAUUAAAACCCGACAACUAGUAGACAUCGUUUAGGGCGUGGACUAC